CGGCAAUAUCACGUUGAAACACAGAUUUCCGUACGGUCGUUAAGCAACGUUGAGCCUGGUUAGUACCUUGAUGGGUGACCGCUUGGGAGUAAUAGGUGCUGUAAU
Acanthosepion pharaonis is the source of this 105-nucleotide non-coding RNA. The record is from the annotation of a GenBank genome assembly. NCBI's taxonomy places the organism in Eukaryota, Metazoa, Mollusca, Cephalopoda, Sepiida, Sepiidae.